Molecule: transfer RNA, 73 nt
Filed under: Otolemur garnettii (small-eared galago)
Lineage: Eukaryota; Metazoa; Chordata; Mammalia; Primates; Galagidae
Rfam family: tRNA
About the family: Transfer RNA (tRNA) molecules are approximately 80 nucleotides in length. Their secondary structure includes four short double-helical elements and three loops (D, anti-codon, and T loops).
Source: Rfam by way of RNAcentral
GCACCUGUAGCUCAGCAGCUAGGGCGCCAGCCCCAUACGCUGGAGCUAGCAGGUUCGAAUCCAGCCUGGGUCU